CAAGACCUUGCGUUAUUCGAGCGGCCGACGUCUGAUUAGCUAGUUGGUGGGGUAAUGGCUCACCAAGGCGACGAU
RNAcentral lists this ribosomal RNA (75 nucleotides) under uncultured bacterium. Its description in RNAcentral is "partial 16S ribosomal RNA". The record is from RNAcentral.